Molecule: non-coding RNA, 362 nt
Organism: Pseudonaja textilis
Lineage: Eukaryota; Metazoa; Chordata; Lepidosauria; Squamata; Elapidae
Source: RefSeq, a predicted model, not a curated record
GCCAGUCAUAAGUCACUUCCCCCUCCCUCAGUCUGGUUGUAAUUAUAAAUGGUUGCUAAAUUAAUGAUUGUUAAGUCAAGGUGUCAACUCUGAAUUGAACCUGUCUGAAGCCAUCUUGUGCUGCUUUACAGCUGCCACACCCUAUGGGCAGAGGAUGAGGGGAAAAUAGCUGGUAGACAAACUAAACUAAACUAAAGAGCUCUCUCUUGGGAACCAAGGUCAUCCCAACAGGUGGCAAUUGGAGGAGGAGCAGAAGUGGUCAAGGGAGCCGCCCACCUGCUUUGAUUGGACAAUGUGACCUAUGACACCCGGGGAGGGAAACUUUUGCUCUUUUAAUUACAUGGUAACAGUGGGAACCUUUA